This 919-nucleotide ribosomal RNA is filed under the name uncultured Actinomycetales bacterium. Its description in RNAcentral is "bacterial SSU rRNA". It matches the Rfam family "Bacterial small subunit ribosomal RNA", at positions 68 to 1001 of the family's 1533-position model. Lineage: Bacteria; Bacillati; Actinomycetota; Actinomycetes; Actinomycetales. The record is from RNAcentral.
GAUGAAACACCUUCGGGUGUGAAUUAGCGGCGAACGGGUGAGGAACACGUGAAGAAUCUGCCUUCAACUCUGGGAUAACUCCGGGAAACCGGGGCUAAUACCGGAUAUGAGCCUUGAUCGCAUGAUCGGGGCUGGAAAGUUUUUCGGUUGAAGAUGACUUCGCGGCCUAUCAGCUUGUUGGUGAGGUAAUGGCUCACCAAGGCGACGACGGGUAGCCGGCCUGAGAGGGCGACCGGCCACACUGGGACUGAGACACGGCCCAGACUCCUACGGGAGGCAGCAGUGGGGAAUAUUGGGCAAUGGAGGAAACUCUGACCCAGCGACGCCGCGUGAGGGAUGAAGGCCUUCGGGUUGUAAACCUCUUUCAGUAGGGAAGAAGCGAAAGUGACGGUACCUACAGAAGAAGCACCGGCUAACUAUGUGCCAGCAGCCGCGGUAAUACAUAGGGUGCAAGCGUUGUCCGGAAUUAUUGGGCGUAAAGAGCUCGUAGGUGGUUCGAUACGUCGGAUGUGAAAAUCAGGGGCUCAACCCCUGACCUGCAUCCGAUACGGUCGAGCUAGAGUUUGGUAGGGGAGACUGGAAUUCCUGGUGUAGCGGUGGAAUGCGCAGAUAUCAGGAGGAACACCGAUGGCGAAGGCAGGUCUCUGGGCCAAUACUGACACUGAGGAGCGAAAGCGUGGGGAGCGAACAGGAUUAGAUACCCUGGUAGUCCACGCCGUAAACGGUGGGCGCUAGUUGUGCGAACCUUCCACGGUUUGUGCGACGCAGCUAACGCAUUAAGCGCCCCGCCUGGGGAGUACGAUCGCAAGAUUAAAACUCAAAGGAAUUGACGGGGCCCCGCACAAGCAGCGGAGUAUGCGGCCUAAUUCGACGCAUCGCGAAGAACCUUACCAAGGCUUGACAUAUACAGGAAUAUGGC